Long non-coding RNA from Polyodon spathula (Mississippi paddlefish), 485 nucleotides. RefSeq lists it as uncharacterized. The record is from RefSeq and is a predicted model, not a curated record. The transcript is spliced from 4 exons. Lineage: Eukaryota; Metazoa; Chordata; Actinopteri; Acipenseriformes; Polyodontidae.
AGAAGAAUGCUGUAAAGUUCAAUAUAUUGCUACUAUAGUUUUAAGACGGUUUAAAACAUACCUCUGAAUGCAAGCCUGGGUAUUAAACAGAGUUGCUAAGGUAAAUCUGAGUAACUCAGCUUAUGGAUGGAGAGACAGAAGAGCAUAAGAAAAACACAUUCAUAUGUGGAUCACAUUGUAUACUGUAUUGUGAAUGUGUUUCUUCUUUACACAUCCCUAGUCAGCCAGGCAAGUAUUUCCCUGUCUAUCCUACAGUCUCCUCCUAUCAGAGCCGAAGGUUUCUUUUAUCCUCAUAGCCAGGACAUUUCCCUUAAGAUGGCUAAAUAUUUCAGAACUGUUUUGACUCGACUUGGGGUAAUCCAUCAAUCCUGAAAACGUGAAAGCUGAAUUGGAAAGAAUGAAAAUACAGGCUCAGAUUGCAACGGUAUUCAUAACUACUGCAAUGAAAAUAUCCUUCUGCCUGGUGUUGAUGGUUGCAGUGCUGG